GUCCUAAGGUAGCGAAAUUCCUUGUCGGGUAAGUUCCGACCUGCACGAAUGGUGUAACGAUCUGGGCGCUGUCUCAGCCAUGAGCUCGGUGAAAUUGUGGUCCCGGUGAAGACGCCGGGUACCCGCAACGGGACGGAAAGACCCCAUGCACCUUCACUACAAUUUAACAUUGCCACUGGGUACAGGAUGUGUAGGAUAGGUGGGAGGCUUUGAAGCGGUGUCGCCAGGCAUCGUGGAGCCAACGUUGAAAUACCACCCUUUCUGUAUUCGGUGUCUAACUCUGCUAUGUGGAGGACAUUGUUUGAUGGGUAGUUUGACUGGGGUGGUCGCCUCCAAAAAGGUAACGGAGGCUUUCAAAGGUAAGCUCAGUACGCUUGGUAACCGUACGGGGAGUGCAAUAGCAUAAGCUUGCUUGACUGUGAGACAUACAGGUCGAUCAGGGUCGAAAGACGGAUAUAGUGAUCCGGUGGUUCUGCAUGGAAGGGCCAUCGCUCAAAGGAUAAAAGGUACGCUGGGGAUAACAGGCUGAUCUCCCCCAAGAGCUCAUAUCGACGGGGAGGUUUGGCACCUCGAUGUCGGCUCGUCACAUCCUGGGGCUGGAGAAGGUCCCAAGGGUUCGGCUGUUCGCCGAUUAAAGUGGCACGCGAGCUGGGUUCAGAACGUCGCGAGACAGUUCGGUCCCUAUCUGUUGUGGGCGUAGGAAUUUUGAGUGGGGCUGACCUUAGUACGAGAGGACCGGGUUGGACCAGCCUCUAGUGAAUCUGUUGUUCCGCCAGGGGCAUUGCAGAGUAGCUACGCUGGGAAUAGAUAAGCGCUGAAAGCAUCUAAGUGCGAAACUAGCCACGAGAUGAGAAUUCCAUAUAGGACCGUAGCAGACUACUACGUUGAUAGGCUAUAGAUGUAAAGCUGGUGACAGAACAGUCGAGUAGUACUAAUCAUCCGAAGCUUUCAAA
Molecule: ribosomal RNA, 953 nt
Filed under: Pedobacter miscanthi
Lineage: Bacteria; Pseudomonadati; Bacteroidota; Sphingobacteriia; Sphingobacteriales; Sphingobacteriaceae
Description: bacterial LSU rRNA
Rfam family: Bacterial large subunit ribosomal RNA
Source: RNAcentral